Molecule: ribosomal RNA, 497 nt
Filed under: uncultured bacterium
Lineage: Bacteria
Description: partial 16S ribosomal RNA
Rfam family: Bacterial small subunit ribosomal RNA
Source: RNAcentral
GAUGAACGCUGGCGGUGUGCCUAAUACAUGCAAGUCGAGCGAACAGACGAGGAGCUUGCUCCUCUGACGUUAGCGGCGGACGGGUGAGUAACACGUGGAUAACCUACCUAUAAGACUGGGAUAACUUCGGGAAACCGGAGCUAAUACCGGAUAAUAUAUUGAACCGCAUGGUUCAAUAGUGAAAGACGGUUUUGCUGUCACUUAUAGAUGGAUCCGCGCCGCAUUAGCUAGUUGGUAAGGUAACGGCUUACCAAGGCAACGAUGCGUAGCCGACCUGAGAGGGUGAUCGGCCACACUGGAACUGGGACACGGUCCAGACUCCUACGGGAGGCAGCAGUAGGGAAUCUUCCGCAAUGGGCGAAAGCCUGACGGAGCAACGCCGCGUGAGUGAUGAAGGUCUUCGGAUCGUAAAACUCUGUUAUUAGGGAAGAACAAAUGUGUAAGUAACUAUGCACGUCUUGACGGUACCUAAUCAGAAAGCCACGGCUAACUACGUG